Molecule: ribosomal RNA, 402 nt
Filed under: uncultured prokaryote
Description: bacterial SSU rRNA
Rfam family: Bacterial small subunit ribosomal RNA
Source: RNAcentral
UAGGGAAUAUUGGUAAUCUGGGAAACCGGGAACCAGCACCUCCGCGUGUGCGAAGAAGGCCUCCGGGUUGUAAAGCCCCUUUUAUGGGGAUGAGUAAGGACAGUACCGUUAGAAUAAGCCUCGGCUAACUACGUGCCAGCAGCCGCGGUAACACGUAGGAGGCUAGCGUUAUUCGGAUUUACUGGGCGUAAAGCGCGUGCAGGCGGGUUGGUAAGUUGGAUGUGAAAGCUCCCGGCCUAACUGGGAGAGGUCGUUCAAUACUACCAGACUAGAGGUUGGGAGAGGGGGGUGGAAUUCCGGGUGUAGUGGUGAAAUGCGUAGAUAUCCGGAGGAACACCAGUGGCGAAAGCGGCCUCCAGGCCCAUUUCUGACGCUCAGACACGAAAGCGAAGGGAGCAAACG